This 476-nucleotide ribosomal RNA is filed under the name uncultured organism. RNAcentral describes it as "partial 16S ribosomal RNA". It matches the Rfam family "Bacterial small subunit ribosomal RNA", at positions 331 to 798 of the family's 1533-position model. The record is from RNAcentral.
GUACACUCCUACGGGAGGCAGCAGUGGGGAAUUUUGGACAAUGGGCGAAAGCCUGAUCCAGCAAUGCCGCGUGAGUGAAGAAGGCCUUCGGGUUGUAAAGCUCUUUUGUCAGGGAAGAAACGGUGAAAGCUAAUAUCUUUUGCUAAUGACGGUACCUGAAGAAUAAGCACCGGCUAACUACGUGCCAGCAGCCGCGGUAAUACGUAGGGUGCAAGCGUUAAUCGGAAUUACUGGGCGUAAAGCGUGCGCAGGCGGUUUUGUAAGUCUGAUGUGAAAUCCCCGGGCUCAACCUGGGAAUUGCAUUGGAGACUGCAAGGCUAGAAUCUGGCAGAGGGGGGUAGAAUUCCACGUGUAGCAGUGAAAUGCGUAGAUAUGUGGAGGAACACCGAUGGCGAAGGCAGCCCCCUGGGUCAAGAUUGACGCUCAUGCACGAAAGCGUGGGGAGCAAACAGGAUUAGAUACCCUUGUAGUCCCAU